UAUAUAUUCUGGAUAUAAAUUCUUUGUCAGUUAUACGAUUUUUCAAAUACUUUUUCCCAGUCAUUGAUUUAUUUUUCCAUUCUCUCAACAGUGUCUUUUGGAAGAGCAGAAAAUUUUAACUUUGAGGAAGUACCAUUUAUAAUUUAUUUAGGGUUAAGAUGUUUUUAUUGAUAUCCUAUCUAAGAAAGGUUUACCUAUUCACAGUCACAAGGAUUUACUCCUGUCUUUUCUUGUAGGAGUUUAUACAUUUGGAUUUUAUAGUUAGGUCUCAGAUUCAGUUUGAAUUGAUUUUGUAUGUUGUGAUAUAUGGAUUACAGUUUAUUUUUGUGUAUAUGGAUAUCUACUUAUUACAGAACCAUUUGUUGAAAAGACUAUUUACUUUUUCACUGAAUAGUCUUUACAUCAUUGUCAAAAAAUCAGUUGUCCGUGUGUUCAUGGGUUUACUUCUGGAUUCCUUAUUCUGUCCUUUUGAUCUACUUUUCCCCUUCAAUGGUAAUAGCACACUGUCUUGAUUACUGUAGGUUUAUAAUGAGUUUUGAAAUUAGGUAGUGUUUGUCCUAUACCUUUGUUCUUUUUUACAGUUGUUUUUCACAGUUUAGGUGUUUUGUAUUUGUAUAUGAUUUUAACAUCCACUUGCCAAUUUCUUUGAAAAAUAUAUAGAAUAUUUAUUGGGAUUGCACUGAAUCUGUAUAUUAGUUUGUGGGGAAUAAACGUCUUAACAAUACUGAGUCUUCUGACUCAUGAACACAGUAUGUCCUCUACUUCUUUGGGUCUUCCUUCUCUCAGCAAUGUUUUGUAGUAUUCAAUGUACAAAUGUUCCAUAUCUAUGAGCAGAUAAUUCAAAAAUAUUUCAUACUUAUUGAUGCCGCUGUCAAUGGCAUUAUUUCUUAAAUAGAAUUCUUAAUUAUUACAUUUUCAUGGAACCACCAGCAACCAGAAUUUUAAUAAUGACUAUUGAAGAAUCCUGGUAAAAAGCACAGGCUACUCUAGGAUGAAAAAGAUAUUUGAUGCUUAAUGUGCAUGUACAUGUAUUUCUAUAUUAGCUUUUAGAAAUCAUUGGCAAUACACUGAAACUAGGGAUAAAAAUGUACCCCCAGCAGUUCUACAGGUAAUCUCCAGAAAAAUCCAUCACUAAAAUAAUAUAGGUUAGUAGCUUUCAACUUUAUGUUUCUGCUAUAUUUGAAUAUGUUAAAAUGUGAGGUUGUAUUUUUUUGUCCCCAGUAAACCCACCUUAAAAAAUUCCUGGUAUCUUGGAUGGUGAGAGAGCAUUGGGGAGAGGGCAUGCAUCCAUAUGAGUAUUUGUGAAUGUAUCAAUUUGUAUGUUGCUGAAGCUGCCAGGAAUGUGUAUUAUGAGGUGUUGAGACUAAUUACCAUGUAUUACGUCAGCGUUAUUCAUUUCCUAGCACAUGUUAGUAACAAGAUAUAGGGGGUUGUUUGUUUUUUCCCAGUGUUCCUUGGCUAGCCUGGUUACCAUGGUGACUCCGUGACUCUUAUGGGAUUUAGCGUAGAGCGAGUAUCCAUUUAUGAUUUUUGCCUGAGUCACUUAUUUUGAUGAUAGUUGUGUUGUUUUACAAUUCUGAUAUUCCUUUCAAAACUAUGAGUUGGCGUUUAGAAACGUCUAAACUUAUCCCUGCUUUCUGUCACAUUUCCAAGUAUUCUCUUUGGUAUUCAUGAUGUGAAUUUUAAUGUCAGAGGCAUCGCACUGACAGAAUGAAGGAGGCAAAGUUGGAGUGGGGAACUUACAUUUGUUGAAGGCCUACUAGAUGCAACACGAUAUGGGUUGUUAUCUUCAGACUUUUUCUCUUCAAAUGCUCAAAGUCAUGCUCUGAGGGUACCAGUUCCUUCAAUUCAGUAAUUUUCAUUCAGUGAUUUAUGUGUGAAGCAUUGAUCUAAGCACUGGGAAAACAGCACAGAGAAGAAGACAAACAUGGUCCCCGGACACAUCAUUCUAGUUUGAGAAAACUGGUAAUAAGCAGAAAAAAUGAUGGAUACAGAAGGAUAGCUGGACGUAAGUGAAAAGUUCCAGAAAACCAUGUCUGGUCCCAUUAAUCAAGCUCCCAACUUGCAUCUCUCCCUGCCCGCUGCUGAGUCCCCUGGUCUACACUCAGAGUUGCAAUCCUGACUCUGGCCACCAAGAGGCAUUACAGCUAUCUCCACGUUCCUUGCUCUUUCUUAAUGAAAAGGGGUAAAUUUUGCAGAGUAAGUAAUGUUAUGAAACUUUUCUUUACUGUGAUACCAGUAGUUCGGAAUACCCAUUUGUAUACUAAAGCAGGCCAAUUUGCUGUUGAUUCCAAAUCUACAGCGCAUUCAGUAAUUUAUCUUUUCCUUCAUUAGUGUAGGUUGAGAUGUCCACACUGUAGGGGGGGUCCCUCCUGGAGAGCAGGGUGUUCACCACCCAUCACUCCAACCCUGUACAGGUUUCUCAGACCUUCUUCCACUCCUUCCCACUGACCCCCUCUCCAGGACAUUAUGGACACAGCUGCCCAGACCCCACUCCAGUGCCUCAUCCUCUCAGUCACUUCCUGCUGCCCUGGGCUCCCCCAAUCCUGCCUCCCAGCAACAGCCCAGGUACAUCAGACCUACGUGGUGUUUCAUCCUAUGGAUGUCCCGCAGUAUGUUUUUACACUCUGUUUUACACCUGUCAGGGUGGGUUUUUUCCCAGACAGAUUUAGAAUCAUUCUGCAGUUCUUUUCAUAGACUGGGUUUUAGGGGAGGCUACCGUAUUUUUCUGCUCCUUGCUUUGUAGAGAAGUUUGAUAAUAGUGGUACAGUGAUGCCCCCUCAUGACAGAAGCCUGAACUGCAGCAGCUUGAACAUCGCUGAGCAGGAAGGUGGGAGGGAGGUGCUGUGGCCCAUGCACACUCUGCAGAGUUUUCCGGAAGUGUGGGUAGAAAAAGGGGCAUUCCCACUGUACAGGGGUACUGAUGGCCACCAGACAGAAAGUGUAGCCUCUUCAUGUGCUAUGUGAAAGCACAAAAUGAUCACUUCUAUGUUUAUGCUUUCAAACCUCUGGAUAAGUAGCUAUAGACCUAUAUAAGCAAAAAUGCAUCUUGGCCACUAAAUGAUCUUUGUGACCCACAUUUGCCCUCAUUGUGGUCAUCUUUGCAUACACAUGCGUUUCCAUAAUAAUGUUUUAAGUUUCUUUCCAAAAAUAAUUGUAGUCUCUUUUUUUAUCAACCAGGUGGUUCAUCACGUGGGUGCCCCAAAAUUCAUUUAAUUAGUGUCCUAGUCAUAAAAAUGUAGUUGCUUUAACAUUUUUUCCUGUUACAAACAAUAGUAUACUUAAUAUCCUCCUCAUAUAUAUGCAAAUAUAUUUGUAAGUAUUUCUGUCAAAAAAAAAAAAGUUCCUGGAAGUGGUCUUUCAAAACCCUGGAAACUGUAAAAUUUUAUGUUAACAUAAUGAAAUCCAAAUACUAUUUCUAACUUAUAUUCCUUACAUAACAGUAUGUAAGGACCUUGUGUCUUCACACAUUAGAAAUAAUGUGAAUCACUGCUAAUCGUAUGGGCAACAAAUCACCUCUCAUCGUUAUCUUCAUUAAAACUUGUUUUGCUGAAUUCUAGAAUUCCAUCCUAUGGAUAUGAUAUCAGUUUUCUCAAACCUGUGUUAUUCAGAUUCCCUGUUAUCUACACUGUGUGGAAGACAUCUUUUCAGAGUCUGUGCAUGGCUGAACGGCACAGUUCCUGUAGCUGUUUACACUGGCCCAGAAAUAAAGGAAAAGAAUUUUCAGAAUGACAGUCCUUAUAACCAGAUGCUUAUCAGCAUCCUUCACAAUGCCCUGAAGAUAAAUUUCUACAAGACCGGCAUUAUGGAAUUUGAGAAAGAAUACUACAGAGUUGAAGUGCCCUUCUUAUCACGUAAUAUUUGGGUUUACAUGAUGAUGUGACCUCACUGGUGAUGUUAACCUUCAUCACGUAGUUAAAGCAGUGUUUGCCAAGUUUUCCAGUGUACGGUAACUUUUUCAAUUCAUGUACUCUCUUCCUGAGAAGUGAGUCACUAAGUGUGACCUAUAUUCAGGGGUUGAAAUAGAAUUAAGCUUCACCUCUUGGAGGGUUAAUAGCUACAAAUACUAUUUGGAAUCAUUCCAUAAAGACAGUUUGUCUUCUCACACGCUUUUCUUUAUUAAUUCACCAAACAUUUACUUAUAUCAGUAUGAAUUUAUACAUACUUAUUUUAAAGUGGAAAUAUUUUAUUUAAUAGAUAUAUCCCAAAAAAAUUCCAGCAUCAUUUCAGUGGUACACUAAAAGAAUUUUGACUUAACUAUCAGGAAACUGCAAAAGAGCUCCCUAUCACCGCAAUUAUAUUUCAUCACUAUAUUUUCUAAUUGUGAUAUAUUAGUGCUUUUAGACAAUAUUUUUAAUCAUGGCAAAGUUUGGAACAGCAUUAUAAUUUCACAUUAUUUCAUUGCCUACUCGGUACCCCUUGAGAAAGAAAUAAAAAACAGAUAAGGCAAGAUUAUUGAAGUAGCCAUAAAAAUUACUGCUAACAUAAAGUAAACCUAUUUAUGAACUCCCCAUCAAUGAAUCAAAAGUAUAAGCUAUGUCAGGUAAAAUGUAUGCUUCAUUUGAAAGCAUGUCAUCUACAGCUCAGCCUUCUGGUUAUCUGACUCUGAACGCUGUUAUACAACUCUACCUUUUAGGUAACUGAUAGCAUUGCAUACUAUCUUUGUCUAUAGACACAAGGAAAUGAAUUCUGUCUUGAGGGAGGGAAACCUUUUCCUCCUGGGGAAAUACCCAUUUAUCUCCAUUUGAACAUUUAUUUCAACACUCUUGAUCUAUAAAUGUGACAAAGAGGUGGCUGUAGACUUGGGAGAGUUCAAGUUCAGUGGAAGGAUGGGGGAGCUAAGCCCCAUUAGAUAAGAAAUGAAGACUGAGGUGUAGGGAAGUGCGGAGGGAAGUGAGCUGAGUAUUGAGAAUUCUUCAUAGAAUAUUGAUUGCAAAUGGGAGAAUAUAUGUAAAGAGAACAUCAACUAAAGAUGUAGAAAUGGCUCCAUGGCACUGAAUUAUGUUUUACAAUCAUCAGUGAUGAGUCUCUAUGAUUAAUCUGUUAGUGGGAAGGAGCCAUCUCUUCUGAGAUCUGCCAUCUGAAUUUACCACACCCUCCUUUCCACACUUCACUUUCUUGUUUCUCUUCUGGGGAAGCCUAAAACUUAACCAAAGGGAUGGUGUAGAGUUUGGUCUUAAUGCCUAGUAACUGUUAACUGAGGAAUGACUGAAUGGGUGGAUGCACGAUGUGUCAAACAUGUGCUGAUAAUUCACAAAUUUUUAUCUCCCAGCACAGAGCUUUUAUGCAGAUGACUGAACCCAUGGAGUUAGGUGGCUAAGAGGAUGCAGCUCCCCAGGUCCCUACAACUGAUGGCAGCAAGAUGGGAGCACCCAGCUACAGUGUUCAGAAGUAGAUUUAGGCCGACUACCACACCUUACAUGCUGGAGGGAUCCCCCCUGACCUGAGCAGUGUGACACGGGUAAAGGAAUUUCUUAUUGAGCCCCAGGAAGAAGAAACACUACAUAAGAGCAAAUAAUAAAAUCGGUCAGAUAGACAGAAGAUGGGAGUCAUCAAACCUGUAUCCCUGUUGCCAGACCUACAACUGACCAUAGGACAUUCACUUGGUCCAGAGAGCUGCCUUAGACUCUCCGAUGAAUCUGUUCAAACAGCUGCCUCUGUUACCUUGACUUCUCUCAGAUUUUGUCGACCUGAGUUCUUUGCUGAGUGAGACUGUGACUCAACUUUUACCCCAAACCCAGCUGUGUUAGGAUCCUUCCUCUCUGGAGCUGUGGUGCUGAACCCUGGAUGGUUUCAUGCAGUCCCUCCCUCUUUCCCGCCCCUGUGGCAGUCACUGCUUGGCUAACUAGGGAGGCAGCAGGUGGCUGAAAUCCUAGUGUGAUGUGGCUGGAUCACGCAUGAUCUGAGGACUCCUGCACAGCUGACUGUAGGAUGAGUACAGAAUUUUUCUAUAAAUAUACUAAAAUACCAAGUAAGCCAGGAGCAGCCACUAGGCAAACACCAAACCUUGCAUUCCUGGCCAGACCUAUCACAGAGCUCAUCAGGUAAGUUCAAAGACACACUUGUCUUCCCAGCAUUGGGAACUGGAUUGGGUCUGCUCAGAGGCAUGAUGUUGACCAGAUUUUAUGAAACACCCAAGAAUGUAGAGAACAUUCUGUUUCUAAAACUUUGAAUUCAAAUCAUAUCAGAGAGAUUUGCUUUCCUUAUAUGGAUGUCUGUGUUCUCAUUAGGAGAGAAACAAUGAAAAAGACUUUUCACAAUGCCUGCCUUAGCCCUGAGGCUCAGCCAGCCCCCACUUCUAUGUCUCAGCAUUUAAAGGGCCAUUGAAGUCCCACGCCAUGCUAUGUAUUCUCAAGAGGUUUUCUCAUUUACCCCUCAGAACAACUCUGUAAAGAUGGUAUGGUCAGUCCCAUUUCACAGAUGACUAAGCUCAGGCUCACAGAGUCUAAGUCACCUCUCCAGGUAAGUGGCAAGGUUGGAAUGAGAUUCCAUCCCUCACCCUUCCUAGAGAACCCUGAGCAACUUCCAUUUUAGAAGAUGGACUUCCAGGGCUUGAGAAAUGGUCAGAUUCCCCCCUGAUAUUGUGGCCCCACAGGUCCUCACUCCACAACUCCUCUGGGUGAUAAGGAAGACAGAAGAGGUGAAAUCCUGCACUUUGUGCCAUGAGAUCUGUGUGUAGGGCCACAUGAGUUGGCUAAUCCUUGAAGUGGUGAGUGGGCUCAGGCAGAAGCUCAGCUAUUGGCCUUCGGACAGUCUGAUAAUGGUGCUACGUUAGUGCCCCCUCGUGACAGAAGCCUAAACUGCAGCUUGAACAUCCGGGAGCAGGAAAAGGGGAGGAAGGGGCUGUGGCCCAAGCCCACCCCACAGAGCUUUCCCACCGAGCUCCUCACACAGGUGACUGAACCCAUGGUUUUGGUGUCUGAGAAGAUGCAGCUUCUCCAGUCUCUGUAACUGAUGUCAGGAAGAUGGGAGCACUCAGCUUCAGUGUUCAGAAGCAGAUUUAGGCUGACUGCCAUACCUUACAUCCUGGAGGGAUCCACCCCGACUUGAGCAGGUGAGAUUACAGAAAGGCUUGCUUUCCAUCACAGGGACAGUAUUACAGCCUGCUCAGAAGCAUGUUGUGGUCCAGCUCUUGUGUCAUUUAAAAAGACUCCAGCUCUUCUCUAAUACUGAAUUCAACUAAUAUCACAGAGAGAUGUUCUUAAUCUUCUAGACAAACACGCUGCCAUCAGUAUCCCCCAGAGGCCACAAACACACCCUGGAACCAUAAUGCCACCAGUAGCUCUAGGAGAACUUGCAGGCUAAUGUGCCUGUUGCUCAUUGUUUUUAGGCUACAUAUGAAAAUGGACCAGUUUGCAAUAAAAAUAUAAUGCAAUGAUGAUUAUCAGAGCAUUUUGUGUACUAGGGAAUUUUUUAAGUUAUCUGAACACCAAAUUAAAUAUAAUGACAAUGAAAGAAUUUCCACCUGUCAUAUCAUCAAAGUAUAAAAAGAAACCAUUCAGGAUUCCAGUAAGGUGGGCAUGCGGGGAAGUCUACCCUGUUUCAUAUUGGUGGUGGGGAUGUCAUUUAGUACAACCUCUUUCCAGGUUGAUUUGGUAAUUUCUAUUAAAGACUCUAUGUAUCCCCCAUCUGCAUGUGUUUGGGGACUGCUCCUUCAAGUAUUCAUCCUCAGCAUGACCCCUGCCCCUCUGAGAGUGCAUAUUCUUCCUGACACAGGAACUGUCUGCAGACUCCAGUUUCUAAAGCAAUGGCCCAGACACACUCCCUUGUCUACAGAGUAGGAAACUUAGGUCUGACAAGGCUCUCUGUCUUUCAGAAGAGAGACAGAACUGGCAGACUGGCUUCAGAGCUGAAGAUACAGAUUUCAGUAGUGACCUGGGUCAGCAGGAAAGCAAGAUUUACUUGGUUAUGGUGUGAUGUGCAGCUCAGCAUCAGUCUGCCUGGGGGCAUAUAGGGUGCAGGUCUCUGCUUUUCCACUUAGUGGCAGGAUGCUUCCCAGCCAGGCUGCUUAACCUGCAAACAUCACUGUUUCUUCAGCUACAGGAUGGUGUAGAGAUUAUAUCCUCUACCUCCCAGGAAUGUUGUGAGAAAUUCAUGAGAUAGAAAAGUACCAGCGUUCAGGAAGGGUGAGUCCCCAAGGCUUCCUGAGGCCAGAGAUACUGCUCUUCUGCGGUACUUUAUUUAUAAUCACCCUAUGACAAUGCACAAAUAAAUGGUCAUUCAGUUACAAGAGUGCAAGGACUUAUAUUUACUCAGUUCAUCCAAUAUAGAUUAUUAUAAUAUUCACAAUGUAAAUUGGAAAGUAACUACAUGGAAAUCAGUUCUUCUUCCUUCCCAUCUAAGGUCUCAGAAGUGCUUUCCCAGAUGUCAUCUCAUUAACCUCUAUAUUGAUCUGAGAUUUGUUAACCAAAACUGGCCAGUACAGGGGAAAUGACUCACCUAAAGUCUUAUAAUGGGCCUGGCCCCGCCAUGUUCUAUUGCAAUGUUUUUCUGCAAACCCUCAUCUUGCGAGGUUACAUUAUGUAUAUUUUUCUUUUUCUUUUCAUUUUACCAAAAGAGAAAAAUAUAUACCUUUUUAUUGUUAAGAAAUGUUUUCUCAAAUAAGUACUUAUUUCAUUCCUUACUGAAAUGGUUUUUUCUUACUGAUCCAUUGAAACCAUGUUGGCUAUGUUCAACAUAACUAGAGAUAUCUUUGGCGUUUUCCUCCCUUAGCUUCAUAUCUUGUAGAACAUCUUGUACAAAAAAAGUAGAUUUAUAGAAAAACAUACAUAUAAAUCACGAAUGAAUCCUCAAAUGUAGUAAAAUAACAUAGCAAAAACUAUCAAAUCCAUUUCAUGCACAAACUGGACAGAUCUGUUACAUAUAAUCUCUAUAUGCAUCUGCAGUGUUUUAUAAAUUGGUGCUUUGACUUUAAAAGGAGGUUUACAAAAAGGCCCGUCUUGUAGUAUCAAUGACUAAAUUAUCUCACUAUCAUUGCAUCUCAAAUUCCCUUGAAUUUAUACUCAUCACUGCCAUAUCACCAUUCUUACAAAGGCAGUAA
This is a non-coding RNA of Chlorocebus sabaeus (green monkey), 9040 nucleotides long. The record is from RefSeq and is a predicted model, not a curated record. NCBI's taxonomy places the organism in Eukaryota, Metazoa, Chordata, Mammalia, Primates, Cercopithecidae.